This 156-nucleotide small RNA is filed under the name Lepidothrix coronata (blue-crowned manakin). Its description in RNAcentral is "TUC338 (ENSLCOG00000005592.1)". The record is from RNAcentral. Lineage: Eukaryota; Metazoa; Chordata; Aves; Passeriformes; Pipridae.
UGGAAAGUGCAGGAGAUGAAAGGUUUCUCUGUUCUCCUAAUCGCUCUGCAAGCUUCUUCCCCAGCCCUGACAAUGUGCCUCAGCCCUGAGUAAGAGGGACCACCUCUGGGGACGAGGAAACAGUUCAAUCAACAGCCUAUUUAUUCUUCAACGUCU